This 406-nucleotide ribosomal RNA is filed under the name uncultured bacterium. RNAcentral's name for it is "partial 16S ribosomal RNA". It matches the Rfam family "Bacterial small subunit ribosomal RNA", at positions 29 to 526 of the family's 1533-position model. The record is from RNAcentral.
AUUGAACGCUGGCGGCAGGCCUAACACAUGCAAGUCGAACGAGUGGCGGACGGGUGAGUAAUGUCUGGGAAACUGCCUGAUGGAGGGGGAUAACUACUGGAAACGGUAGCUAAUACCGCAUACCAUCGGAUGUGCCCAGAUGGGAUUAGCUAGUGGGUGGGGUAAAGGCUCACCUAGACGACGAUCCCUAGCUGGUCUGAGAGGAUGACCAGCCAAACUGGAACUACGAGCCGGUCCAGAGUCCUACGGGAGGCAGCAGUGGGGAAUAUUGCAAAAGUGGCGCAAGCCUGAGGGUGCCAUGCCGCGGGUAGGAAGAAGGCCUUCGGGUUGUAAAGUACUUUCAGCGGGGAGGCGGUACCCGCAGAAGAAGCACCGGCUAACUCCGUGCCAGCAGCCGCGGUAAUAC